This is a long non-coding RNA of Hordeum vulgare subsp. vulgare (domesticated barley), 203 nucleotides long. RefSeq lists it as uncharacterized. NCBI's taxonomy places the organism in Eukaryota, Viridiplantae, Streptophyta, Magnoliopsida, Poales, Poaceae. The transcript has 3 exons. The record is from RefSeq and is a predicted model, not a curated record.
CAUAUCUCGGAGUCCACGUGAGGCCAAGGGACUUUUGCUGGCCAGCAUUCGUGACCCAAACCCAGUCAUCUUUUUCGAGCCAAAGUGGCUGUACCGUUUGUCUGUUGAAGAAGUUCCUGAGGGGGACUAUAUGCUGCCUUUAUCCCAGGCGAAAGUGAUCCGCAAAGGAAGUGAUAUAACACUUGUUGGUUGGGGAGCUAAAC